GCAAGCCAAGCCCUCCCGAGGAGGAGAAGAAAUGGAUCUGAGAACAACGAGCGUUAUCAGAUCCAUUUCUUCUCCUCCUCUCCGGCCGAUCCCUGCUCGAGUUGUUUUUGUUGUCAUGGUUCUUGAUUAGCGUUUUGUUGCCGCAAGCCGGCCAGGGUGGCUCAGACGGGUUCGCUGGUGCUCAACUUUUGACCAGCACGACACCAAGAACCUCACCGUCUUCCAGCCGAUCGACCAUUUCGUGGAGGAGAACCUCAUGAUCCCCCGCUCACAUCAUCUCGAACGAGUUCGGCAUCGAACCCCACCAGUCGGUGCGUGUGGUCGAAACGCCGUCGCCCUUUCUUGUUAAAUUGGUCUUGCUUGCCUUUUUGCCGUCCGAUCGAGCGUUUUGUCGUUUUGUUUUGUUCGGCUCGGAGCCGGAAAGACGUCGAAGGACAGCUCUUCGUUGUCGGGAGAGGUGGUAGCUGGGGAUCUCGCUACUGCAAUCUUGACUUCGUUGGCCUCUCUGUUGUUGUGCGGAAUGAUCGGAGUAGUGGGAAUGCAACAAACGUAGGAAACAGCAGGGCAACCAUGUGUUGUGAUAUCUCAUGCACCAUGUGUCAUUCGAUCCCCGCUUUUCCAGCUUAGUCCACCCAGUGGUUCGUUCACAAGGGACAACGAGUAGAAGGCUUGGUGCAGGUUUGUUCAUUACAGUGUGAUUUCUUUUAUGGCCAUACAUUAGAAUCAUGCACCAUGAGCCUUGCUCGCAGUGUGAUUUCCUUUUUGUUCAACCACUGUCCCUUCCCUUUGCCUUUCCACCCAAGUCGACAAAUCCUUUUCUUUCUUAUUAACUUUUCAAUUUUUCCCUC
Molecule: non-coding RNA, 848 nt
Organism: Musa acuminata subsp. malaccensis (wild Malaysian banana)
Lineage: Eukaryota; Viridiplantae; Streptophyta; Magnoliopsida; Zingiberales; Musaceae
Source: RefSeq, a predicted model, not a curated record